This 144-nucleotide ribosomal RNA is filed under the name uncultured bacterium. RNAcentral describes it as "partial 16S ribosomal RNA". It matches the Rfam family "Bacterial small subunit ribosomal RNA", at positions 366 to 525 of the family's 1533-position model. The record is from RNAcentral.
GGGCAUGGGCGAAAGCCUGACCCAGCAACGCCGCGUGAAGGAUGAAGUGAUCUUCGGUAUGUAAACUUCUAAAGAAUAGGAAGAAUAAAUGACGGUACUAUUUAUAAGGUCCGGCUAACUACGUGCCAGCAGCCGGCGGUAAUA